This 609-nucleotide long non-coding RNA is filed under the name Oryza brachyantha (malo sina). Its description in RNAcentral is "long non-coding RNA (OBRA_LNC000780)". The record is from RNAcentral. Lineage: Eukaryota; Viridiplantae; Streptophyta; Magnoliopsida; Poales; Poaceae.
UCUCUAGCUGUUUAUCCCGUGAAGCUGAAUUACGUACUAAAAAUGAUCUUUCAUCUGAAAAUACUUAGCUGCACACCUUGGAUGAUUAUAUUCCUCUUAAUAAUGUGAUAAUUAAUUGAUGAAGAUGCAUCUUAAUGUACAUUUAGUUUUCUCGAGCUGCUUAAGCAAUCAACAUUAAUUCACUCAAUUACACAGGUCACUCCACUAGCUGUACUGUCCAAUAACCGAAUCCAAUCCAUCGCUAAAUUUGUUCAUGAUCCAGCUAGCUGCCUGAUCCCAACCAAAACUAACAAAAGGAGCAACUAGCUAGCAAUUGGAUCAACUUGAUGAACAAAUUAAGCGGCAAUCACGUUCUGAUCAAUUUGGAGCUUAAUUACAAGGCUCUCCGAUCAGCUUGCUCCUCGGUCCAGGCCGAGGAGCCUCGCCGCCACCGGCGACAGCCGCCCGGGGCUCACCGCCGCCGCGACGGUCCUCCUGCCGCCCUUGCGCUCCUUGAUCGUCUCCAGCCGCGGCGACCACGCCCGGCUCCUCGCUGCGCCCACCAGCUGCUCGUAGUGCUUCCUCAGCUCCGGCGUGCUGCACAGCGCCCCGGCCCCGGCGGUGCCGCCG